CCUACGGGGUGCACCAGUGGGGAAUAUUGGACAAUGGGCGCAAGCCUGAUCCAGCCAUGCCGCGUGAGUGAAGAAGGCCUUAGGGUUGUAAAGCUCUUUCACCGGUGAAGAUAAUGACGGUAACCGGAGAAGAAGCCCCGGCUAACUUCGUGCCAGCAGCCGCGGUAAUACAGAGGAUGCAAGCGUUAUCCGGAAUGAUUGGGCGUAAAGCGUCUGUAGGUGGCUUUUUAAGCCCGCCGUCAAAUCCCAGGGCUCAACCCUGGACAGGCGGUGGAAACUACCAAGCUGGAGUAUGGUAGGGGCAGAGGGAAUUUCCGGUGGAGCGGUGAAAUGCGUAGAGAUCGGAAAGAACACCAACGGCGAAAGCACUCUGCUGGGCCGACACUGACACUGAGAGACGAAAGCUAGGGGAGCGAAUGGGAUUAGAUACCCUCGUAGUC
This 440-nucleotide ribosomal RNA is filed under the name uncultured bacterium. RNAcentral's name for it is "bacterial SSU rRNA". It matches the Rfam family "Bacterial small subunit ribosomal RNA", at positions 338 to 795 of the family's 1533-position model. The record is from RNAcentral.